UCCCUUGGUAACGGCGAGUGAAGAGGGAAGAGCCCAGCACCGAAGCCUGCGGCAGUUUUGCUGUUAGGCAAUGUGGUGUGUGGGUCGGCUCGCGGGACCAUCACUCCACUCGAAGUCCAGCAUUGAGUAUGGCUAACACUGGAUUUGGCCCAUAGAGGGUGAGAGGCCCGUACGGGUGGAGGUUCAGACAUGUACGAUGGUUCACCAGGCCGGCCUCAGAGUCGGGUUGUUUGAGAUUGCAGCCCAAAGAGGGUGGUAAACUCCAUCCAAGGCUAAAUACGCUCACGAGUCCGAUAGCGAACAAGUACCGUGAGGGAAAGUUGAAAAGUACUCUGAAGAGAGAGUAAACAGUACGUGAAGCCGCAUGCAGGUAAACGGGUGGCGUCAAGCUGCGAGCCCGGAGGAUUCAGCUGACUGGGAUGUAGUGUGCGCACGCCUGGUGCGUCGAGAGGCCGGAAUAAGAUGCUUGUGGCGGUCCACUCCUCUGCUGGGAGUGGAGUGCAAUCGGCGUGCGCUUGCGUAUGCCGGUUGUCGCUAUGCAUGCCGGGUGGGUGCCGGAGCAUGCCGCUCAUCUGUUGGGCCACCUAGUCAGUGCAUUUUCUCCGUGGUGAACACCACGACCGGUGGAACUGCCAGUCUGCUGUGAUCAAGUCGUGUCCUCCUGGCGCGUUACUGUGCUAGGGGUUUGGCACGAUCGCAGGCGGAGUCGGUGAACGGCGCAGUGGUGCUUCGGUACUGCCGCGUGCUAUCGUGCACUCUCCGUCGUAAGCGGUUAGUGGGGUUGACUAAGUGCUGUGACCACUUCCCUAUUAACCGGCGGAUCACAGUGGUGAAAGGGACUGUGCAGGGCACCGGAGUUGUCCACCUCAUUCAAUAUGGUACCCGACACGCACGUUACAAGGUGCCUAUACAAUCGGGAUGCGCCGCUGUCUGCCUGGUGUUGGGCCUGGCUGUCGUGUCGCCUACGCAAAGU
This 973-nucleotide ribosomal RNA is filed under the name Arostrilepis beringiensis. RNAcentral's name for it is "partial 28S ribosomal RNA". It matches the Rfam family "Eukaryotic large subunit ribosomal RNA", at positions 76 to 634 of the family's 3401-position model. Lineage: Eukaryota; Metazoa; Platyhelminthes; Cestoda; Cyclophyllidea; Hymenolepididae. The record is from RNAcentral.